Molecule: small nucleolar RNA, 132 nt
Organism: Ochotona princeps (American pika)
Lineage: Eukaryota; Metazoa; Chordata; Mammalia; Lagomorpha; Ochotonidae
Source: Ensembl
CACCAGAGUGUUGAGUUCAGUUCAGGGCAGCUUCCCUGUUCUGUUAAUUAAACUUUGGGACAUUGAAAGGGGCUGGGAGAUAGAACUGGAUACAAAAUAUCAUGCUAUUCAUUUGUCUCCCAGACUACACAG